Periophthalmus magnuspinnatus is the source of this 175-nucleotide long non-coding RNA. RefSeq lists it as uncharacterized. The record is from RefSeq and is a predicted model, not a curated record. The transcript has 3 exons. NCBI's taxonomy places the organism in Eukaryota, Metazoa, Chordata, Actinopteri, Gobiiformes, Gobiidae.
ACCACCUAUACCCACCUCUACUCUACUGGAAUCCACUGAGAAGACUACUGGUGUAUAACCAUGCUGAAGGUUGUGCUUAUUCUGGGAUGUCUCAUGUGCCUGACUCUGGCCUCCACUGCGGACUCGGAGCACAAGCGCAUCGCCCGCUCCAGUGACUCUGAUUCCACAGAGGCAA